Molecule: small RNA, 1591 nt
Filed under: Arabidopsis thaliana (thale cress)
Lineage: Eukaryota; Viridiplantae; Streptophyta; Magnoliopsida; Brassicales; Brassicaceae
Description: ATSL206200
Source: RNAcentral
UAGCAUUCUACUGAAGCUCAAUCUUUUCUCUGAGAGUCUCCUGUUACUCAACCAAACCAUUAGAGGGACCAUUUGUGUGUUUAGCCUAAGCCCGAAACCAAGUGAGUUCAUAACAAUUGCAUUGCUUGAUCCACUGUUCGUGCUUAAUGAAUGUUAAAGGGAAUUGGUUGAUGUGAAUGCUUGAAUAGAUUAAGGCAAGUUGUUAGGUUGCAUUGUGACGAGUAUGGCUAACGUUUUUGAGUAAGGGUCUAUCAUCUUGCAACCUAGAAUUAGUGACCAUCUCUACAAGACUUGUUGAGCUAUCAAAGCGUCUUUGGAUCCUCCUCAUUUCCCACUCAACCAGACAUCUGAGCAUACAAAUAGGAGAGGAUGAAGCAUCUACUCGACCAAUUGAUCACUCGGAGCAUAGACACAAAGGCGCAAACUUUGCAGCACCCUCUUCACUCGAUCCCCAAGGUCGAGUAUUCGCCCAAACCGCCUUAAGUCUCUUCUCUUCUAGUGAAUCUAGGGUUUCCAACAUUUUAGUAUAAAUAGAUCAUUUGAGGUUUGUCCAAAAGAGCUAGACUUUAUCUUUCAGUUUUUCUUUGUGUUUAUGAAUCUUGAAACUUUAAUUACUCUUAAUCUAUUUCGUUUUUGCAUUUAAUUGUUUAAGUAGAGUUGUUUAGAUUGUUUAGAUCUACAUUUUGGUAUGAUUUCAGUAAUUUCUGGGUUUGUGUUCUUGAGAAUGUUGCUUGAGUAGUGAUUAGGGUUCUUGAGGAUGGAUUAGAUUAGGGUAAUCUCUAGGUUAGUUAGGUGGUUAAUGUUUAGGUUUAUACCCUUCUGGAUUCCAUUGGCCCCUAUGCGGUUUUCGCUGGCUAAUAUGGAGAUUCGAUCACAGACGUCCAGCGUCCAAAAGACGUUCAAAUGGAUGUCUGACCUACGAAUUCCAGAGAUAUGUAGACUCGACCAAGGGAUUGGCUUGCCUGCCUAUUGGCAUUGGUACAUUGUUUCUUAAACCCUGCUCUUCUGUGUUUCAUCAACGAGAGUUGAGAUUAGGAAGUGGUAGAGUUAUGGGGGUCUCUGUCACGAGAGUGGAUUGACGUAGUUUUUGAAUCUAUCGUCAUGGGUAUCUACCUUUCGCCUAUUAGCCAUUUGAUGAACCCUAGAGUUACCCUUAUCAAUGAAUCCAUCCUUAGAACUUCUAUUAGAUUUGUUUGUAUCCCCUGUUGAUUGCACUUUUAUUUACCUUGGUCGAGUCUACAAAUCUCUGGAAUUCGUAGAUCAGACAUCUAUUUGAACGUCUUUUGGACGAUGGACGUCUAUGAUCGAAUCUCCACAUUAGCCAGCAAUAACCGCAUAGGGGCCAAGCGAAUCUAGAAGGGUUCUAACCUAAUCUUAACCACCUAACUAACCUAGAGAUAACCCUAAUCUAAUCCGUCCUCAAGAACCCUAAUCACUACUCAAGCAACAUUCUCAAGAACACAAACCCAGAAAUUACUGAAAUCAUACCAAAAUGUAGAUCUAAACAAACUAAACAACUUUACUUAAACAACUAAAUGCAAAAACGAAAUAGAUUAAGAGUAAUUAAGUUUUGAAGAUUCAUAAACACAAA